GUACUUUAGAUCAGUGGGUUAGAGCAGACGGUUCAUAACCGCCCGGUUGUAGUUUCAAGUCCUAAAAGGGACA
This 73-nucleotide transfer RNA is filed under the name Enterococcus casseliflavus. RNAcentral's name for it is "tRNA-Met". Lineage: Bacteria; Bacillati; Bacillota; Bacilli; Lactobacillales; Enterococcaceae. The record is from RNAcentral.